CCAACCUACAGAAUGGCAUCAUCUAUAGUUAAGAUGUAUCUUUCCACAUAAUCCCACAGAGAUACUCAGAGGCUGGAUUCGUAGGUGAUUCUGGAUCCUGUCAAGUUGACAAUCAGUAUUAUCCCUUUUGAAUCGACAUAGAAAAUGUUCUUUAACCUCUAAAAAAGGUCAUGAAGACUUGAUGGCCAGAUAAGUGAAUGUUGAUAGAAAAACUCAAUUCUUUUCUUUCCUUUGUUUUUUUCCCUCUCUGGUGCAUUGAUGAAUUUUUCAGAGACUUGCUGGCUAUGUGUAAGAUGAUGACAAGAAAUAAAGUUCCCCUUUAAGAAGCA
Molecule: long non-coding RNA, 329 nt
Organism: Mastomys coucha (southern multimammate mouse)
Lineage: Eukaryota; Metazoa; Chordata; Mammalia; Rodentia; Muridae
Exons: 2
Source: RefSeq, a predicted model, not a curated record